GAUGGCGACCGGCGCACGGGUGAGUAACGCGUAUGCAACUURCCUAUCAGAGGAGAAUAGCUCAUCGAAAGAUGAAUUAAUGCUCCAUAAAACAGGGGUCCCGCAUGGGAAUAUUUGUUAAAGAUUCAUCGCUGAUAGAUAGGCAUGCGUUCCAUUAGGCAGUUGGCGGGGUAACGGCCCACCAAACCGACGAUGGAUAGGGGUUCUGAGAGGAAGGUCCCCCACAUUGGUACUGAGACACGGACCAAACUCCUACGGGAGGCAGCAGUGAGGAAUAUUGGUCAAUGGCCGAGAGGCUGAACCAGCCAAGUCGCGUGAAGGAAGAAGGAUCUAUGGUUUGUAAACUUCUUUUAUACGGGAAUAAAGUGAGUCACGUGUGRYUUUUUGUAUGUACCGUAUGAAUAAGCAUCGGCUAACUCCGUGCCAGCAGCCGCGGUAAUACGGAGGAUGCGAGCGUUAUCCGGAUUUAUUGGGUUUAAAGGGUGCGUAGGUGGUCUUUUAAGUCAGCGGUGAAAGUUUGUGGCUCAACCAUAAAAUUGCCAUUGRAACUGGGAGACUUGAGUAUGUUUGAGGUAGGCGGAAUGCGUGGUGUAGCGGUGAAAUGCAUAGAUAUCACGAAGAACUCCGAUU
This 630-nucleotide ribosomal RNA is filed under the name uncultured Bacteroidales bacterium. RNAcentral describes it as "bacterial SSU rRNA". It matches the Rfam family "Bacterial small subunit ribosomal RNA", at positions 87 to 714 of the family's 1533-position model. The record is from RNAcentral. Lineage: Bacteria; Pseudomonadati; Bacteroidota; Bacteroidia; Bacteroidales.